This 184-nucleotide unclassified non-coding RNA is filed under the name Glomus sp. RNAcentral's name for it is "partial contains 5.8S ribosomal RNA and internal transcribed spacer 2". The stretch from base 1 to 65 matches the Rfam family "5.8S ribosomal RNA", at positions 84 to 154 of the family's 154-position model. Lineage: Eukaryota; Fungi; Glomeromycota; Glomeromycetes; Glomerales; Glomeraceae. The record is from RNAcentral.
GUGAAUCAUCGAAUUUUUGAACGCAAAUUGCACUCUCUUCGGAGAGUAUGCCUGUUUGAGGGUCAGCCUAAAAAAAAUCGACAUAGUUGCUGUUUCGCGGUGACGUUCGUCGGAAAUUGGGUUAUCUUAAACCUUUUGGUUUAAUAGACGUAUAAUUUUCCUUUUUAUGCUAUGAACAAUUCUU